This 922-nucleotide ribosomal RNA is filed under the name uncultured bacterium. RNAcentral's name for it is "bacterial SSU rRNA". It matches the Rfam family "Bacterial small subunit ribosomal RNA", at positions 8 to 916 of the family's 1533-position model. The record is from RNAcentral.
AGAGUUUGAUCCUGGCUCAGAUUGAACGCUGGCGGCAUGCCUAACACAUGCAAGUCGAACGGCAGCAUGAGGUGUAGCAAUACAUCUUGAUGGCGAGUGGCGGACGGGUGAGGAAUGCAUCGGAAUCUGCCCAGUCGUGGGGGACAACGCAGGGAAACUUGCGCUAAUACCGCAUACGACCUUCGGGUGAAAGCAGGGGAUCUUCGGACCUUGCGCGAUUGGAUGAGCCGAUGCCGGAUUAGCUUGUUGGCGGGGUAACGGCCCACCAAGGCGACGAUCCGUAGCUGGUCUGAGAGGAUGAUCAGCCACACUGGGACUGAGACACGGCCCAGACUCCUACGGGAGGCAGCAGUGGGGAAUAUUGGACAAUGGGGGCAACCCUGAUCCAGCAAUGCCGCGUGUGUGAGGAAGGCCUUCGGGUUGUAAAGCACUUUUAUCGGGAACGAAACAUUGUCGGCCAAUACCCGGCAAGACUGACGGUACCCGAGGAAUAAGCACCGGCUAACUACGUGCCAGCAGCCGCGGUAAUACGUAGGAGGCAAGCGUUGUCCGGAGUUACUGGGCGUAAAGGGCGCGCAGGCGGCUUGCCGCGUUCCAGGUGAAAGCUCUCGGCUUAACCGGGAGAGGUUCUGGAAAACGGGUGAGCUUGAGCGUCGGAGAGGGGCAUGGAACUCCGGGUGGAGCGGUGAAAUGCGUAGAGAUCCGGAAGAACACCAAUGGCGAAGGCAGUGCCCUGGCCGACUGCUGACGCUCAGGCGCGAAAGCGUGGGGAGCAAACAGGAUUAGAUACCCUGGUAGUCCACGCUGUAAACGAUGUCCACUAGGUGUGCAAGGUAUCGACCCCUUGUGUGCCGUAGCAAACGCAUUAAGUGGACCGCCUGGGGAGUACGGUCGCAAGAUUAAAACUCAAAGGAAUUGACGG